AUUACCUAAUUUUUUUUUUCCUUGAAUUUUUUAAUGGAAAUCUCAGGCUUUGGUGAGUUCAUAAUUAUUUCCCAAUAUUUGUGCAGAGCAGCAAUUAUGGAACUGAGGAGGAGCAUAUUCAAGAACAUGCUAUCGGGCAUGGUACCAACACCUCCCUGGACAAGAUGUCAGAAGGAGAACCCAAUAUUGAUGGCGAUCAAAGCCAAGAACUGGGCCAUAUAAGUGAUAGUUCUCCAGAGAUGUGUCAUGGAGCUUCAGGAGAAAAGCAAGAUUUCACCCAGAUAAAGUUGUCAGCCUCAGCAUUAUGGCAGAAAAUAAAUCAAAUCCUCCCAUAGAUGUACUGCAGAAAAGAGCCUGGAAAUCUUUCACAGUCAAUGCCAAGAGGACAUUGUGUACCUUGAUGCCACUGGCAGCAUAAUGAAGCAAGGAAAAUCAACAAUGGCACCUUUUUAUGUGUAUGAGCUUGUUGUGUGGAACCCCAAAAAAGGAUCUCCUCCUUUUUCCAUGGGGAAGCAUUCCUAAACAUCACUUUGGCAUGCAUGUGAUUGGUCUGUUGACAUCAGCAAACACCAUGGCAGAACUCAAGGAGAUGAUGCCAAGUGCCAUCUAUUGUCAUAUGUGGUGGAAUCCCAAAUUAGUUCUGAGGAACUAGCUCAGGUUGACAUUAGAGUUUCACCAUUUGUGAAACAUCUAGAGGACGUUAUCCAGAAGGCACCACUUGACCUGACAGGAGAAGACAAUGCUUACCUCUAUUUCAUUAGAGCCCUGGAGGGCAAUAUGCUCCCUCAUGUUGCUCUUAUGUUUGGUUUGUAAUGAAUCUAUUAUGUUAUAUUCUAAAUAUUUGUAAUUUCUUAGUUUAUUCAGUGUAUUAACCUAUAAUAUUUCAAUACUUAUUGCAUCCUAGGGUUUAUUAUGCUGUAAUUAAUUGGACAAGUUAGUUAUGAACUAGUUAUUAUUAUAUAUAAGUAAAGCAUAAAAUGUUUGAAAAAAAUACAUAUAUAAAUACAUAUAUACAUACAUAUAUACACACAUACACAUACAAACACACACAUUAUACAUAUAUUGUAUCCCUGUAUCUCCUCAGCUCGGACA
Molecule: non-coding RNA, 1092 nt
Organism: Electrophorus electricus (electric eel)
Lineage: Eukaryota; Metazoa; Chordata; Actinopteri; Gymnotiformes; Gymnotidae
Source: RefSeq, a predicted model, not a curated record